UCUUGGGUAGUUCAGAGGUGGAACGCCUGACUGUUAAUCAGGAUGUCGUGGGUUCGAUCCCCACCCCAAGAGCCA
RNAcentral lists this transfer RNA (75 nucleotides) under Alkaliphilus sp. B6464. RNAcentral's name for it is "tRNA-Asn". It matches the Rfam family "tRNA". From Rfam's summary of the family: Transfer RNA (tRNA) molecules are approximately 80 nucleotides in length. Lineage: Bacteria; Bacillati; Bacillota; Clostridia; Peptostreptococcales; Natronincolaceae. The record is from RNAcentral.